This 329-nucleotide ribosomal RNA is filed under the name uncultured Pseudomonadota bacterium. RNAcentral describes it as "bacterial SSU rRNA". It matches the Rfam family "Bacterial small subunit ribosomal RNA", at positions 30 to 351 of the family's 1533-position model. Lineage: Bacteria; Pseudomonadati; Pseudomonadota. The record is from RNAcentral.
AUUGAACGCUGGCGGCAGGCCUAACACAUGCAAGUCGAGCGGUAGCACAGGAGAGCUUGCUCUCUGGGUGACGAGCGGCGGACGGGUGAGUAAUGUCUGGGAAACUGCCUGAUGGAGGGGGAUAACUACUGGAAACGGUAGCUAAUACCGCAUAACGUCGCAAGACCAAAGAGGGGGACCUUCGGGCCUCUUGCCAUCAGAUGUGCCCAGGAUGGGAUUAGCUAGUAGGUGGGGUAAUGGCUCACCUAGGCGACGAUCCCUAGCUGGUCUGAGAGGAUGACCAGCCACACCUGGGACUGAGACACGGCCCAGACUCCUACGGGAGGCAG